This is a long non-coding RNA of Rosa rugosa (rugosa rose), 956 nucleotides long. RefSeq lists it as uncharacterized. The record is from RefSeq and is a predicted model, not a curated record. NCBI's taxonomy places the organism in Eukaryota, Viridiplantae, Streptophyta, Magnoliopsida, Rosales, Rosaceae. The transcript is spliced from 4 exons.
CUCAAAACGCAAAACGCAAACCUCAAAUCAGAAACGCUAAAACCUCCAGCGACGGAUCCAAAACGCAUUGCAAAAUCUCUGAAGCAGUAGCACUCAGCUUGAAUCUGGCUUCAAUGAAGGUCGAUAAGAGCUGAAGAACUUGAUGGAAAUCAGAGAAUUUGCUUUGUCUCUGGUCGAGUUAUCGAAGAAGAAUAGCUAGCCCAUUUGCUUUCAAUGUGAACUAAUCGGUUGCCCAGAUGCGGGAAGACUAGAGAUUGAUAGAAGUUGUGUUGGAAUCAGAACAAGGGCAGGGAAGUUUUGGUUUGUUCGGACUACGCAACAUAAAGUUUGAUGCAGGAAAGUAUGGAUGUACAACGAAGGUGCUGGGUUUGAAAUUUAUGUCGUCAAGGCAUAAACAAACAAAGAGGAAUCCUUGUAAAAUGAAUAACACCAGCGAGUGCAGUAGCAGGAUUGGACGAUGACGAGUGUAGUAGCAGAACACGAGUACGAGGGCAGUAGCAGAACUGGACGAGUAUGAGUGCAGCGAGUGCGUAGUAAGAUUGGACGAGUGCAGUAGCAGGAUUAUGCGAUGACGAGGGCAGUAGCAAAACUGGACGAGUAUGAGUGCAGUAGCAGGAUUAGGCGAUGACGAGGGCAGUAGCAGAACUGGACGAGUAUGAGUGCAGCGAGUGCAGUAGCAUGAUUGGAUGAGUGCAGUAGCAGGGUUAGACGAGUUCAGUAGCAUGAUUGGACGAUGACGAGUGCAGUAGCAGAACACGAGUAAGAGGGCAGUAGCAGAACUAGACGGAGUAUGAGUGCAGCGAGUGCAGUAGCAGGAUUGGACGAGUGCAGUAGCAGGAUUGGACGAGUGCAGUAGCCGAACGUGAGUAGCAGAACUAGACACGAGUACAAGUGAUGUAGCAGAACUUGAUGAGUAUGAGUGCAGCGAGUGCAGUAGCAGGAUUGGACGAGUGCAG